Molecule: long non-coding RNA, 7318 nt
Organism: Vicia villosa (hairy vetch)
Lineage: Eukaryota; Viridiplantae; Streptophyta; Magnoliopsida; Fabales; Fabaceae
Exons: 5
Source: RefSeq, a predicted model, not a curated record
AUAUUUUUUCAUUAAUAUAAUGUGUACGCAAUUAACCUCCUUAUGCUAUUCCUAAAAAAGCAUAACAGGUACUUCAAAUUUCUCUUUCGUUCUAAUUUCUUCACCCGGCCAUCAAACGCAAAGGCUACGAGGUUUCUUCAUCCGACCACCACACGAGUCAAGUCAUUCUUCUACCUUGAACGAUUAACCUAUUGGAAAAAUAAUAAUGUGAAGAGAGUCAAAUAUAAAGAGAAUAUGGAUGUACACAUUCAGCGACACGUCAUGAUGUUUGGUAACAUCUCCAUGUCAUUUUGUCUUCUUCCAGUGGGUCAUGGUUGCUUUCUUGUAGACUGGCUAGAAUGCUCUUUAUUGUCUUUGAGAAAAACAGUAAUGGCUACCCAUUGACAAUAUCAGGAGCUCAAUAACCCGUGAGAAGUUUGAAGAGCUCUGUGAAGAUAUUUGGGAAAAAUCUCCUAUACCAUUGAAAGAGUUUCUUGAGCAUUCAGGCUUGUCAGCAGAUCAAAGUUACAGAUGCUUUGUGCAGAUGAUGUUUGAGGUCUGCGUCCAAAAGAAGCUGCGAGAGAACAAAGGCGGAAUCGCUAAAGUCAUUUCACGUUGCCGUCAAGAUCCGGUAACCACAACACUACUCCCUUCGUUUCACUUCUCCGAUCUUACCACACCUUCAUGCCGAUGCUUCCGUUCUCCGACGCCGCUGUCAAUGUGAGCUAUCCAUUCUCUUACUGAUUGAUGUUUGAAUUUUGGAUUUGUUCUGAAUGUCGUAAAAGUUUUUUACCUCUGCAUCUGUUUUGAAAACCAUGAUAGUUUGAAAAAGUGACUUUUGUAAGUUUUGUUUGUUUUCUCUAUAUAUUCUUUUUAAGAUGACACUAAUGGCAAGUGGUUUCUUGUAUAUUACAUUCAUGGAUAUUCAUGGAUCUUUAAAAGUCAAACGAUUUAUUUCGAGGUGAAAUCCUCCCCAUUUCUCAAAAAAAAAAAAUGGAGAGCUCCAAUACUAAAGUUUUGAUAAAUAUUGUAUAUAUAUUUUUGAAAAAUGUGAUGUAUUUAUAUAAUUUGACUUUUAUAUUAUGAAAACUUUAGAACUCAUUUAUUUUGAAUUCUUUUACAGUUUUGUCGUGAAAAAAACUUGAGGCUAUAGUGGGAGAAUUGGUUUCUUAAUUUGUGUUCAUAAGUAUUUUUUUAAUAACUUGUUUUUUAUAUAGAAUUGUGAUCUUUAAUUAUUUUCACUUUAGCUUUUAUAUUUUCUUUCAAUAUUUAGAAAUGUGUUUUUUUAUAUUGAAUAUUGUGAUUUGUAAUUAUUUUCACUUUCGCUUUUAUAAUUUCUUUCAAAAUUUUAAAAAAUGUGUUUUUUGAUAUAGUUAAAAUUAUGGUUUGUAAUUAUUUCCAAGUCUAAGUUGUCGGAUUAUUUAUUCUUUUACUUUGUGUUACGAUUUCGGAGCUAAUUUCAAUUUAGCUCUCGAAUACGUAUGAACUCAAAUAUUUUCAUUGUCUGGCCUCAGAUAGGGUUAAUUCCUACAUUUUUUUAAUAAGCGCCGAGAGUUGCAAUUGUGUUGAUUCAAUCUUGUUGCCUAUUGUUCAAUACUUGUCCAAUACUUGUUUGAAAUGAUGAUGAGGCUAUCUUGUGUCAUUGCUUCUUGAUACUUAUGUGAUGAUUUAUAUGAUGAGCUUUAUUUGACAUUGCUUCUUACUUGUAUGGUUUGAUACCUCUCUUCCAUGUUCCAUGUUCCAUCUUCCCCUUUACUCAACAUGAUGUAAAUGUUCAAUUAGGAGACUCUUUAUGGUUUGUCUUGCUUACUUUGUGAUCAAAUCUUUAAACAUGCUUGGAGUGAGAUAUUUGUGAUACUCUUGAGUCUUUCAUGUUUGAUUAUCACCAUGUCUUUGCUUCUGACCUUGUUCUUCUCUUGAUGCUUAAUGCCAUGCCUAAUUGAUCACAUCACUUGUUAAGACUAGUCCACCUUCACUUGUCAAUUUUGCUUGAUACUUGUGUGCCUUGGUUGUUUGUACCAUGAAUUAAAUGCAUAUUUGAACUUCUUCUUGAUCUUGAGACUUGCGCUAAUUAAUUAUCAUGUUUAUACUUGUUUCUUCUUCUUCCCACUUUCCUUCCCUUUCAACUUGUUUUGCUUGUAGCAUUGCAUGAGGACUUAUGUCCUUAAGUUUGUUUGUGAUCCUUUCCUUGUGAGAUUUUGUUCUGAAUCUUUCUUAAGUAUGUUUAUGUGAUGAUGAUGAGUCCUUGUAUUUGCCUCUGACUUGUACACUUUAUCUACAUAAUGUUGCCUAAUUAGGAUGUUUCCUCAUCUUCUUGGUCCAUGAUACUUUGUUUGAAGUGGGAUUAGACCUAUAACAAGCUAGGGGCAGUAGCUUUGAGAUGUUUUGAUAGGUGUUGAUGAUAUUUCCUCUUGGUUGGUUAACCAUUGUAUACUUGCUUGGUCAAGUAGGUCUUACUUUAGGUAUCUUGGUUAAGUGUUUAUUUUGUGAUUAAAUGGUUACUUUCUCAUUUGAUGUGUGAUUGACUUUCAUGCCUUGGUUAAGUGUGUGAUUGUUUAUUUGUCAUCUUCUCUCCUACCUUCUUUGAUGACAUGAAUGCUACUUGGUUAAGUUCUUUUUGUGCUAUCUUUGUUCAACAUGUUAGUGCUUAGGUGGUUACCUACUGCAUGGGUGUUUGUUACUUUGAUAUUUGCUUAGUUAAGUAGGUAUUUCUCAUUUGAUGUGUGAUUGUUUAAUUGUUAUUUUCUCUUUUCUCUUUCUUUGUUAUUUUAUGGCAUGAAUGCUACUUGGUUAAGUGCUCGUUGUGUUAUCUUUGAUUAUGGUUGUUAGUGCUUGGCUGGUUUCUUAAUUGCAUGUUCUUUCUUCUUUAAUACCUGUCUGGUUGAGUAUAUAUUCUUUAAGUAUCUUGGUUAAGUGUCUAUUUUGUGAGUAAGUGGUUACUUCUCAUAUGUAUAUGUGCUUACUUUCAUGCCUUGGUUAAGUGUGUGAUUGUUUGUCUUCUUCUGUUUUCUUCCUUUGCGAGAUUGCAUGCUCCCCAUAGGAUCCUUUAGUUCAUUCUUGGUUAAGAUUGAACUAAAUAGACCUCAGGUUUUGAAUCCAUGUAUGACAACAUUAUGUAGAUCUUCCCUUAUCAUGACUUUAGGCCCACAAGCAUGACAACAAGUACGAUUGAAAUUCCAUUUUGAUUAGUCUUUUUCUUUUGCAUUCAUUCUGAAACAGAACUUUUCUUCUUCGAACUCUAAAAAAACAUUUAAUAAAUAAUGAUGAGAAUCACUUUCAUGAGCCUUAAGAAAUGGAAAAUGAUGAGUGAGUGCAGUCCAUAUCUUAUUCUUCUUUCAUUCAUAGUCUUUGGUGUGGUUCAAAUUACAAACUCUGACAAAUAACCAGAGGUACUGAGUUUAUUCAAAAAAAAAAAACCCAGAGGUACUGAGUGUCUCUACAAUGUAAGCCCCAGCCAAUUCAAAUCUUCGAACUCUAAAAAACACAAUAAAUAAUGAUGAGAAUCACACUUCCAUGGGCCUUAAGCAAUGGAAAAUGAUGAGUUGGUGCAAUCCAUAUCUUAUUCUUCUUUCAUUCAUAGUCUUUGGUGUGGUUCAAAUCACAAACUCUCACAAAUAACCAGAGGUAGUGAGUGUCUCUACAAUGUAAACCACAACCAAUUAAAAUCUUUUUCUUAACCUUUUUAGAAAGGAUGUGUUAUCUCAAAUCCAAGCAAAUUGGAAAUGCUAAUUAUACGAGUGGCCAAGUCUGGGUCUCGAUGAGCUGCAAUGCCAAGUACGAAUUGUAAUCCUAACCGCAAGAAUGCGAAUAUAGCAUUAUCCAUAAAAUGCACACAGCAAACCGAAACACCUUGUUAGGUGGACUAUGAGUGCCCUAAUCCUCCAUUGUAUGAUGGGGGUACGUAGGCAUAAAGGUUUGAAAUCGUGACAGACACAAUAAUGAAAACCUUUACUUUUUCCCUUAUCACUCGUGCAUUCCCUUAGCACUAGACUUUAGACUUAUAAAUUACACCCUUUGAUUAGUACAAAUUUGAGUGGAUUCUGUGGAAUAUCUCAGAUGCGAGGGGUGAUAAUAUCUUCCCCUCGCAUAAUUGACUUUCGUACCAUGUUCUUUGUUGCUAUCGUGAGACAUGUUAUUGCUCUUUCUUUGAGGUUUGCUGACAUUCUCUUUUCCCUGGUGGGAUAAAUAUGUUCAUUGGCGACAAACACAAAGAUUAAAAAAUCAUUGCAAAGAGACAUGAAAAAACAUUCGAGCUACAAGUAAACAUUAUUUUAGAUUCAUCAACUUUAAAGAAUAGAAUAAUUCCGUGAAAAUUUCAAGGAAGACGCACGUUAUUUGACAACAUAGUGAAAUUGACAUGGAAUAGUUAAAAACAUAACAAGGAAACAACGUUUGAGUUCUAAUCUAGAGGGGUUCAUGCCAUUUACUGUCGUAAUCAAAAUGAAUCCAUUAAGAUUUCAAUCAUAUGCUAACUAGAUUCAACAAAUUCCAAAUCAUUCUUAACCUAUUAUAGAGAUCAUAAACAAACAAAAAAACCAAACCAUUCUCAAUAACAACAAAACCUUAAUUCUCAAUAACAGCAUUUUAGGAAAAACAUUAUAAUUAAGUACCUGGUCUCAUAUGCGUUCUUGAAUAAUACUGCCAAAGUUGGUCCAAUGGAGCGCUGGCCAGAAAACCUCUCGAACUCAGGCUUCAUCAUUUUAACACAUCCUUGGUUUAGGAUGACCAUAGAAAUUCCUUCGUACGACCUAUUUCCAGUGGUACAAGGUAUCUCUUGAAUGCACCAUCCAUAAGGAUGAUGAUGUCACCACGUGAGACUUUAAGUUCAGACACAUGAAGUGCAAACGACAUGUCAUUUCCUAGAAAAAUGACCAUAUCUUUAGUGUCAUGAUUUCCAACCAUCUCUUUUCUGUUUCAUUCAAUUGAUAAGCUUGGACGCCUCUCAUCUUAGAAUAAGAUGACUUGUCAACAAGUAAGAGUGUGUCUAUUGCAUUAACCAAAUAUUUAUGCCUAGAUUGGUCAGUUAAAAUGAGUCUGAAGAAACCUUUGAGUGACAGUUUCUAUCGCAAGUUCAUUCUCCGACACUUUGAUAGUAGCUUUAGUCAGAUCAAUUACGUAAACGAAUCGAUUAAACAUGCAAAUAUCCAUCUUAAUAAGAAAUCCAUCCACAAUUGGAAAAGGUGUUAGAAAAUCAACACCUCAAUGUCUACUGAGAUAGAGAAAAGGCUUUUGACUUAACUUUGCUAAGCAGGGUUUUUUAUAUAGGAAAAUAGUCGCCCCAAUUCUCUGAGCAAUGUCGAUAUCAACUUUAUCUAUCAUGAAAACCAUCAGCUAGUUUCGAAACAGUGAGUUUGCUAAAGUUAAACCAACAGGGAGGGAAUACAACAAAUGAUGGUUGAGGGCAUCGACAUAUCAAUAACAACUCGAAAAUUCAGAUGUCUUACCUAGAUUAGUGAGUAUUCUCUGCCCUGUUGGUUUAAUUUUAGCAAACUCACUAUAUCGAAAUUAGCCGGAGGUGUUUUCAUGACCAAUGAGGUUGGUAUUGACAUUGCUCAGAAAAUUGAGGCGACUAAUUUCCUAUAUAAAAACCCCUGGUUAGCAAAGUUCAGUUAAAGGUUUUUUCUCUAUCUCAUUAGGCAUUGAGGUGUUGAUUUUCCAACACCAUUUCCAAUUGCGGAUGGAUUUUUUAUUGUGAUGGAUAUUUGCAUGUUUAAGCGGUCCGUUUACGUAAUUGAUCUGACUAGGGUUCUAUCAAGUUGCCAGAGAAUGAACCUGCGAUAGAAACCGUCACCCAAAGGUUUCUUCAGACUCGUUUUAACUGUCUUGACCAAUUUAGGCAUAAAUAUAUGGUUAAUGUAGCCGACACGCUCUUGUUGACAUGUCGUCUUAUCCUAACAUGAGAGACGUCCGAGUUUAUUGACCGAAUGAAACAGAAAAGAGAUGGUUGGAAAUUCUUGACACUAAAGAUAUGGCCAUCUUCCUGGGAAAUGACAUGUCGUUUGCAUUACAUGUCUCUGAACUUAAAGUCUCACGUGGUGACACCAUCAUCUUUAUUGAUGGUGCAUUCAAGAGAUACUCUUGUACAACCAGAAACAAACCGUAUGAAGGGAUUUCUAUGGCCAUCCUAAACCAAGGAUGCGUUAAGAUGAUGACGCCCAAGUUCGAGAGGUUAUUCUGACUAGCGCCCCAUUGGACCAACUUUGACGGAAUUAUUUAAGAACGCAUAUGAAAUCGGGUACUUAAUUAUAAUGUUAUUGAAAAUUAGGUUUUGUUUGUAAAUGAGAAAUACUGAGUAUUAGAUUUUUUUUUUCUAUAAUAGGCUAACAAUGAUUUGAAAUUUGUUUAUGAUAGAAAUCUUAAUGGACUAAUUUUGAUUAGGACAGUAAAUAACAUUAAAACAUUUCCCUGUGUUAUGUUUUACUAUUCCAUGUCAAUUUGACUAUGUUGUCAAAUAAUAAUGUGCAUUUUCGUUCAUUUCUUCAUGUCUUGCUUGGAUUUAUUGGAUGAGAUGAUAAGGGAUAUCUUUCAAUUUAAAAAUGUUUUGAGUUCGAAUUCAACCUGGACACGCAACAUUGUUAAUUUUUUUUUAGGGAGACUUUUAUCGUCCAUUGUAGUCUUUCACGCCUUUAGGGAUUAGUCUUUGCAUGUCUGAUACAUAAUAAUUUUUUCCUAUCUUAUACUUUCCUACGAGUUUAUUUAUUAAAACAAAGUGCAUAAUGAUGUGAAUGAAAAAAAAUAAAAUAGAAAAUUGAGUUAAAUUAAUGUAAUAAAAAAUGUUUGUGUUUGAAGAGAGUGGGUAACCUUGAGGUGCUAGAAAAAUCCUCUGAAGAUCCCUAAAUUGAGAUAAAAGUUGUCAAAGCCUAACAUGAUCCAUAUGAGAAGGAAUGCGGUGCUAGAAAAAUCCUCUGAAGAUCCCUAAAUUGAGAUAAAAGUUGUCAAAGCCUAACAUGAUCCAUAUGAGAAGGAAUGCGACUCAAAUAGCAAACAUUAUUGUAGUACUGUUGUGGUAUCAAUCCCGUUAUUUUCCUCUAGAGCCUCAAUUCAUUUUUCUACUUUUGUGUUUGUAUGUUGAAAAAGGGAAUGAGGUCGAGGAGCUUGUUGAAGGUGUGGAUGUUGCGAGGUGGCGACACUGAAACGCUACGACGAUGUUGUUGCCGAAGAUCUAGGUAGAGUGGAUGGGUGGUAGAAAAAAUUUAGCUUGGGGUUUAUAUGACGGGGAGAAUCUUAUCAGUAAUGAAACGACCUUGUUUUGUAGAUUUUCUUUUUUUGUUUAACAUUUUUUUUGACAAAUUAGUUUCAAAUAUUAGUUGGUUAUGAAAAAAAUACAAUAAACUCUUCA